AUUAUUAUUUAGCUCACAAGAAGCAGAAACAUGUUAAAGGGUACGAUGCUGACAGAGUGACUCGAGCACACCUCCUCUGGGAUCUACUUUUAACAAGAAAUAAGCAUAAAAGAAACUCGAUACCUCGUCCUGUGUACAAGCGCAAAAGCAUGGAAGUUCACGAAGUGCCUCUUAAACUUGGACUCUGCACGGAUCAGCACCCACUGUGUAGUUCUUAUGCAUUAAAUGGAUUUUGUGACUGGCCUGGAAUCUUUCAAAACCUCAACAACAUUCAUAAGACGUGUGCAUUUUCAUGUGGAUACUGUAAGAAGAACAUACCAGAUGGAGUGGUAGACCUUGUCGGAGCCAGUUGGAGUUCACCAUGAACUUUGAUAGGAAUUAUUCUCUAUCCAUGCCUGGGUUUCAGCAUACAGGCCUUCAGCUUAAACAUGCAAAUCACUAUUGAAAACGGUUCUAUAAACAGCACUGGUUUGUUGUGUGUUUUGUAAGUUUGAAAGCUUGCAACUUGAAACGGGUAAUAAAAAUAUCUACAUAUAUAACCUUCAGACCUCAGCAGAAUGGUUCUGAUCAUACCCAAAUCGGACGUUGUUCCAACUAGGGACAUAGAUCAAAAGUCCAGCCAAUGGAGCAUUGACGUCUACGGUUUGAACGGCGAAACCAAAUUGAAACUGGUUUUGACUGUAGAGAGGCUCUCUCAUUUGCCUUUCAAGUAGAAAUUGACUCGGUCUUUAGAAGAAACAGCACUGUUUAUUAACAAAAAAAAAAAUAAUUUUUAAGGGAGGGGGCGGGAUGGUGAGACAGGAAAGAAAGCUUAGCUGAAUACAGAAUUAUUAUUAUUAUUUUCAAUUUAUUUAUAAAUAUUACUUCCUCGGGCCCCACAGCCGAUCACGCAAGCGCACUGUUAGUAAAGAUCAUCUUAACACUUGGACGUACAAGGGGGAGAAAAGUGGGGGUGGACACCA
This is a long non-coding RNA of Orbicella faveolata, 962 nucleotides long. The record is from RefSeq and is a predicted model, not a curated record. Lineage: Eukaryota; Metazoa; Cnidaria; Anthozoa; Scleractinia; Merulinidae.